UUGAAAGUUUCUCGUACAAUUAAA
Molecule: non-coding RNA, 24 nt
Filed under: Arabidopsis thaliana (thale cress)
Lineage: Eukaryota; Viridiplantae; Streptophyta; Magnoliopsida; Brassicales; Brassicaceae
Source: RNAcentral